Molecule: ribosomal RNA, 465 nt
Filed under: uncultured bacterium
Lineage: Bacteria
Description: partial 16S ribosomal RNA
Rfam family: Bacterial small subunit ribosomal RNA
Source: RNAcentral
CCUACGGGAGGCAGCAGUAGGGAAUCUUCCACAAUGGGCGAAAGCCUGAUGGAGCAACGCCGCGUGGGUGAAGAAGGUCUUCGGAUCGUAAAACCCUGUUGUUAGAGAAGAAAAUGCGUGAGAGUAACUGUUCACGUUUCGACGGUAUCUAACCAGAACGCCACGGCUAACUACGUGCCAGCAGCCACGGGAAUACGUAGGUGGGAAGCGUUAUCCGGAUUUAUUGGGGGUAAAGGGAACGCGGGCGGUCUUUUAAAUCUGAUGUGAAAGCCUUCGGCUUAAACGUCGUAGUGCAUUGGAAACUGGGAGACUUGAGUGCAGAAGAGGAGAGUGGAAUGCGAUGUGUAGCGGUGAAAUGCGUAGAUAUAUGGAAGAACUCCAGUGGCGAAGGCGGCUCUCCGGUCUGUAACUGACGCUGAGGUUCGAAAGCGUGGGUAGCAAACAGGAUUAGAUACCCUUGUAGUC